Molecule: long non-coding RNA, 542 nt
Organism: Chelonoidis abingdonii (Abingdon island giant tortoise)
Lineage: Eukaryota; Metazoa; Chordata; Testudines; Testudinidae
Source: RefSeq, a predicted model, not a curated record
UAUCAGGAAGGCAAAAUGUGCUGCUCUCAAGAAGGUGUACAAUAGCUCUGAAGCACUUAUAGCCUCAUAGACUGAUUGGUGACUUCCCAUCCUUUAUAUUCUCAGAGCAUAGCUGACAGUCUAGGAGGUUUGAAGAAAAUGUAGUUCUCAAAGUCUGGAAGGUUCCAUGAGAGUCUGCAGAGGUUCAGAAUAUUCUAGGAGGUUGAUACUGCAGAACACCAGAAGUCAAUUUUUUCCAGCAUGAAAACUGUUAGCAUCAGUGAACAAAAUGGAAAAUGUUUUGGAGCAAACAUUAAAGAAUUGAUAUGUAAGCUCCUAGAAGGGUAACAGCCUUCUGGAUAGUGUAAAGCUGGAAAUAAAGUGUUACUAAAAAUCAGCUUGCGUGCCAUAGGUUGCCAACCCCGGCCUAGACAAUUCUUCUAUAAAGUGGGUGCACAAAUGGUUGGAAAACCGUACUCAGAAUCAGUAUCAAUGAUUCACAGACAAGCUGAAAGGGCAUAUCAAGUGGGCUCCCACAAGAAUCUCUCAGGGAUUCAGUUCUA